CAGCAGCCGCGGUAAUACGGAGGAUCCAAGCGUUAUCCGGAAUCAUUGGGUUUAAAGGGUCCGUAGGCGGUCUUGUAAGUCAGUGGUGAAAGCCCAUCGCUCAACGGUGGAACGGCCAUUGAUACUGCAGGACUUGAAUUAUUGGGAAGUAACUAGAAUAUGUAGUGUAGCGGUGAAAUGAUUAGAGAUUACAUGGAAUACCAAUUGCGAAGGCAGGUUACUACCAAUUGAUUGACGCUGAUGGACGAAAGCGUGGGUAGCGAACAGGAUUAGAUACCCCCGUAGUCCCUGUCUCUUAUAC
Molecule: ribosomal RNA, 301 nt
Filed under: uncultured bacterium
Lineage: Bacteria
Description: partial 16S ribosomal RNA
Rfam family: Bacterial small subunit ribosomal RNA
Source: RNAcentral